RNAcentral lists this long non-coding RNA (345 nucleotides) under Nicotiana tabacum (common tobacco). RNAcentral's name for it is "long non-coding RNA (NTAB_LNC015520)". The record is from RNAcentral. Lineage: Eukaryota; Viridiplantae; Streptophyta; Magnoliopsida; Solanales; Solanaceae.
GAGAUUGAUAUUUUGUCUAGUUCAACUUGGCCAGGAUUGACACCUAUUGGUGACUGGUGAACAUUAAGUUUGAGAGAAGAGUUACCUACUCAAGUUCAUAUAUAGGAUUUAUAGGAAAACGUUAUAGCUCUUUGUCAAUGUUAUCAAUCUUAUAAAUACCUAUCAUUUCAUCCUAUAUGAAAGGUAGGUAGCUGCUAGUUUGUGCAAGUAAACAUCUAUUUCUUUGAUCACCCUUGAGACUAUGACAAAGUUCUAUGAUGUAAUACAAUACAUGUAUAUUGAGACUUGUAAAAUUGUACUUCAGUUUAUUCCAUAGUAGCUGAAACCUCUGCAGUUUUACAAGAA